This 2143-nucleotide long non-coding RNA is filed under the name Phasianus colchicus (ring-necked pheasant). Its description in RNAcentral is "lncRNA (ENSPCLG00000013651.1)". The record is from RNAcentral. Lineage: Eukaryota; Metazoa; Chordata; Aves; Galliformes; Phasianidae.
GUGCUCCCAGUGCCCUUCAAUGCCUUCCCAGUGCCCUCCCAGUGCUCCCAGUUCCCCCUCCAUCCACCCCAUGAUGCCCCCCAAUGUUCCCCCCCCAUCCACGGUGCCCAUCCCCCUCUGUGCCCCCCCCCUCCCAGUCCAUCCCAGUACCCCCCCCAGCCCUUCCCGGCAGUGGGGUCGGAGGGGAAUUCGGUGCGGUGCUGAAACUGGAGGUGAUUUCUGAGAAGGGCCCCGGGGGGUGUUGAGCAACAGCGGGGCUGCCCGUCCGUCUGUCCUUCCCGUCUGUGUGUCUCAUCCAUCCGUCCUUCCCAGCCGUCUGUCUCAUCUGUGUUUCCCAACCAUCUGUUCCCCAUCUGUCUGUCUCACCCAUCCGUCUGUCUUUUCCACGUCUGCUUUUCCCCGUCCAUCUUUCCUAUCCCUCUGCCUUCCCCAUCCUUCAUCUUCCCCAUCUGUCUGCCUUUUCCAUCUGCCCAUCUGUCCAUCUGUCCAUCUGUCAAUCUGUCCUUCUUAUCCACCUGCCGUCCCCAUCCAUCUGCCUUUCCCAUCCAUCUGUCCGUCUUUCCCAUGUUUGCUUUCCCCACCCAUUUCUCCCAUCUGUCUGCCUGCUUUCCCCAUCCAUCCGUCUGUCUGUCUUUCCCAUCCACCCACCUUCCCCAUCUGUCUGUCUGUCUGUCUUUCCCAUCCACCCACCUUCCCCACCCCUUUGCUUUUCUCACCCAUCUGCCUUCCCCUGUCUUUCCCACCCGUCUGCCUUUUCCAUCUGUCCAUCUGUCUUUCUUACCCACCUGCCCUCCCCAUCCGUCCAUCUUUCCCAUCCAUCUUUAUUCCCCAACCAUCUUUUCCAUCUGCCUCCCCCAUCUGUUUGUCUGUCUUCUCCAUCUGUCCGUCUUUCUCAUCUUCCUAUUUUUCCCAUUUCUCUGCCUUUCCCAUCCUAUCUGUCUUUGUCCAUGUGUCCAUCUGUCUAUCUGUCUAUCUGUCUUUCUCAUCCAUCUGCCUUUGCCAUCUGUCUGCUUUCUCCAUCCGUCUGUCUGUCUUUCCCAUCCACCUCUUUCCCAUCCACGUUUUCCAUCCCUCUGCCUUCCCCAUCCAUCCAUCCAUCCAUCCGUCCGUGUUCCCCAUCCAUCCGUCUGUCCACCUUCCCUAUCCAUCUGUCUGCCUUUCCCAUACAUUUUCCCAUCCGUCUGCCUUCCCAUCCAUCCUUCUGCCUUUCCCUAGCUGUCCAUCUGUCUUUCCCAUCCAUCUUCCCCACCUGUCUGUCUGCCUUUCCCAUCCAUUUUCCCCAUCCAACUACUUUCCCUAUCUGUCCAUCUGUCUUUCCCAUCCCUUUCCCAUCCACCUUUCCCAUCCCUCUGCCUUCCCCAUCCAUCCAUCCGUGUUCCCCAUCCAUCCAUCUGUCCAUCUUCCCUAUCCAUCUGUCUGCCUUUCCCAUCCAUUUUCCCCAUCCAACUGCUUUCCCCAUCUGUCCAUCUGUCUUUCCCAUCCAUCUCUUUCCCAUCCACCUUUCCCAUCCUUCUGCCUUUCCCAUCCAUCCAUCCAUCCAUCCAUCCAUCCAUCCAUCCAUCCAUCCAUCCAUCCAUCUGUCCAUCUUCCCUAUCCAUCUGUCUGCCUUUCCCAUCCAUUUUCCCAUCCGUCUGCCUUCCCAUCCAUCCUUCUGCCUUUCCCUAGCUGUCCAUCUGUCUUUCCCAUCCAUCUUCCCCACCUGUCUGUCUGCCUUUCCCAUCCAUUUUCCCCAUCCAACUACUUUCCCCAUCUGUCCAUCUGUCUUUCCCAUCCAUGUUCCCCAUCCAUCCAUCCCUCCAUCCAUCCAUCCAUGUUCUCCAUCCAUCCGUCCAUCUUCCCCAUCUGUCUGCCCUUCCCAUCAAAUUUCCCAUCCGUCUGCCUUCCCCAUCCAUCCUUCUGUCUCUCCCUAUCUGUCCACCUGUCUUUCCCAUCCAUAUUCCCCAUCCAUCCAUCCAUCCAUCCAUCCAUCCAUCCAUCCAUGUUCCCCAUCCCUCCAUCCGUCCAUCUUCCCCAUCCGUCUGCCUUCCCAUCCAUCCUUCUGUCUUUCCCCACCUGUCCAUCUGUCUUUCCCAUCCUUCCCUUUCCCCUCCCUCUGCCUUCCCCAUCCCUCCAUCUGUCCAUCUUCCCCCCAUCCAUCCGCUCC